Protopterus annectens (West African lungfish) is the source of this 1265-nucleotide long non-coding RNA. RefSeq lists it as uncharacterized. The transcript is spliced from 2 exons. The record is from RefSeq and is a predicted model, not a curated record. NCBI's taxonomy places the organism in Eukaryota, Metazoa, Chordata, Ceratodontiformes, Protopteridae.
UUGAUACAAAUGUGUGAAGCUAUUAUAUACCAUUUUUUUAUUUUAAUUUAUUUUACAUUUAUUAACAGAAUAUGCAGACUAGUUCAAGAAUCAUUUUCAGCCAUGAUCCUAUUUUACUAUAACAUGGAGACUGUUUCAUCAUAUACAGAAAAGUUAGGCACCUGUUCCUAUUAAGAAAAUAAUUAAAACUUUAUUUGUAUUGAGUAUAAAAUAACACAAAUCCAAAGUACAAGAAAGAAAUAUAAUAAAAGGUCAUACAAAGAAUAUUUAGCAAGAAGAUUAUACUUACUCUGUGUGUCAGACUUUUGCAGAUGUUUUUGAAAUGGAUUAUAAUUUUACAAUGGCACAAUUGGAGAAGUAUCACUUAUCUUAAUGGGCAUCUCCUCCAGUUUGAAAAUCCUGACCGUAAAUACUAUAUGAAUUUAAGCAACAGAUAGGACAUCACAAGACAGUCCUGCAUUUAUUAUUCCUAUUUCCAUACAUACUGCAAUAAGAAUUAGAGCUAUCCAAGAUGUUAGAAAUGAACAUGUUGAAAUAUACAUCAGUGCUGUACUUGGAGGUCAGCAUCAUCUAAUUUACUCAAAGAUAAUCAGAUAUUAACUCGGCGACAUGGAGGGGAGUCAGUCACAGUGUCUCCCAGUUCAUAGUAUGAUGGAGGCCUUGCACAUAGUAGUUUUACAAAUCACUUUUUAUCUGCGACACAAAGGGCAAUCCUUCAUGAAGAGUGCAGGUACAGCACACAAACUGCAGGUACAGCAUCAUAAUCUGGGGGUUUCAUGCAGGUACAGCAUCAUAAUCUGGGGGCUCCAUGCAGGUAGAGCACACAAACUGCAGGUACAGCAUCAUAAUCUGGGGGUUUCAUGCAGGUACAGCAUCAUAAUCUGGGGGCUCCAUGAAGGUACAGCACACAAACUGCAGGUAUAGCAUCAUAAUCUGGGGGUUUCAUGCAGGUACAGCAUCAUAAUCUGGGGGCUCCAUGCAGGUACAGCACACAAACUGCAGGUACAGCAUCAUAAUCUGGGGGCUCCAUGCAGGUACAGCAUCAUAAUCUGGGGGCUCCAUGCAGGUACAGCAUCAUAAUCUGGGGGCUCCAUGCAGGUACAGCAUCAUAAUCUGGGGGCUCCAUGCAGGUACAGCACACAAACUGCAGGUACAGCAUCAUAAUCUGGGGGUUUCAUGCAGGUACAGCAUCAUAAUCUGGGGGCUCCAUGCAGGUAGAGCACACAAACUGCAGGUAUAGCAUCAUAAUCUGGUGACUCCAUGUG